AGCGAACGCUGGCGGCAGGCCUAACACAUGCAAGUCGAGCGCCGUAGCAAUACGGAGCGGCAGACGGGAGAGUAACACGUGGGAACGUACCCUUUGGUUCGGAACAACCCAGGGAAACUUGGGCUAAUACCGGAUAAGCCCUCACGGGGAAAGAUUUAUCGCCGAAGGAUCGGCCCGCGUCUGAUUAGCUAGUUGGUGGGGUAACGGCCCACCAAGGCGACGAUCAGUAGCUGGUCUGAGAGGAUGAUCAGCCUCACUGGGACUGAGACACGGCCCAGACUCCUACGGGAGGCAGCAGUGGGGAAUAUUGGACAAUGGGCGCAAGCCUGAUCCAGCCAUGCCGCGUGGGUGAUGAAGGCCCUAGGGUUGUAAAGCCCUUUCGGCGGGGAAGAUAAUGACGGCACCCGCAGAAGAAGCCCCGGCUAACUUCGUGCCAGCCGCCGCGGUAA
RNAcentral lists this ribosomal RNA (449 nucleotides) under uncultured bacterium. RNAcentral describes it as "partial 16S ribosomal RNA". It matches the Rfam family "Bacterial small subunit ribosomal RNA", at positions 29 to 523 of the family's 1533-position model. The record is from RNAcentral.